This 158-nucleotide non-coding RNA is filed under the name Nomascus leucogenys (northern white-cheeked gibbon). The record is from Rfam by way of RNAcentral. Lineage: Eukaryota; Metazoa; Chordata; Mammalia; Primates; Hylobatidae.
GCUGGGUGUAGUGGUGCGCACCUGUGGUCCCAGCUACUUGGAGGCAGAGGUGGGAGGAUUGCCUGAGACCAGGAGUUCAAGGCUGCCGUGCGCUUUGAUCACACCUGUAAAUAGCCACUGCACUCCAGCCUGGGCAACGUAGUGUGGCCCUGCCUCUU